GACGAACGCUGGCGGCGCGCUUAACACAUGCAAGUCGAACGGAAAGGCCUGCUUUCCCUUGUGGAUUGCGGGUACUCGAGUGGCGAACGGGUGAGUAACACGUGAGUGAUCUGCCCCCAACUUGGGUAUAAGCCUGGGAAACUGGGUCUAAUUCCCGAUAGGACUGCAGGGUGGUGCCUGUGGUGGAAAACGAUUUUCUAGUGGUUGGGGAUGAGCUCGCGGCCUAUCAGCUUGUUGGUGGGGUAAUGGCCUACCAAGGCGGCGACGGGUAGCCGGCCUGAGAGGGUGGACGGCCACAUUGGGACUGAGAUACGGCCCAGACUCCUACGGGGGGCAGCAGUGGGGAAUAUUGCACAAUGGGCGGAAGCCUGAUGCAGCGACGCCGCGUGGGGGAUGACGGCCUUCGGGUGGUAAACUCCUUUCGACCGCGAGGAAGCCACCUGGUUGGAAGGGUGGUGACGGUAGUGGUAGAAGAAGCACCGGCUAACUACGUG
RNAcentral lists this ribosomal RNA (494 nucleotides) under uncultured bacterium. RNAcentral describes it as "partial 16S ribosomal RNA". It matches the Rfam family "Bacterial small subunit ribosomal RNA", at positions 28 to 507 of the family's 1533-position model. The record is from RNAcentral.